CGCGCAUGCGCAUUACUUUAUCUCCAUUUUGUACCUUCCCUGGACGCGAAGAGAACUUCUAUCGCCGUAAAUUUUGCAUCAAUUUUUUGCGAAAUCUGGCGAAGAAUCUAACUCACUGGCUUUCGUUUACCCCGUAUGGCUUCAGAAGAGAAAUGUGCUUUACUAAAAUCUGUUCUUGUGAAUGCUGAUUCUUCAGAACAGGAGCUAACUCAAGCCUAUCUGCAGCUUGCUUUCCAGUACACAUCUAAUAAAUCUUCAAAGGUAACUUGUUUGAAGAACGGCUAUGGGGGCUGCCAUCUUACGUUCUAAAAUACACUGCGUAUGCGCUUCUAUCUUGCACAAUUUGCCGAUGACUAAAAAACAAAGAGGACACCAGCACACGGCAUGCUCCAUACAUCGGCGCUACAUAUAAGAGAUCGCGAGCCAGCUGAUUCUCAAGCUCACUGCAUGCAAUUUUUUUUUUACUCGGCCUCAAGAUUCUUGAUCGUUCCCAACCGAGUAAAUAAUGAGUUGUCAGACUAAAAUCAGCGAUUUUUGUCUUCACGAUCGGCAGUGACUUAUAGCUCCAAAGGUAGUAUGAGUGAAGCUACUAGCAUAACUGAGUAAAAAUUAGCUGAUCCAUGUCUAUGAUGGCAUAAGAACUGAUGUUAUGACUUAGCUGGAAGUAGACUUAGAUCUAGAUCUGUAUGUGCUCUUAACCACAUGAUUCUCAUUUGUAGUUAUUUCUCUUGCCCCUUAAAAAUUAAGUGUAGUACCAUCAUAAAAAAUAUUUUAGAGCAAAAGAAUUAAAAAAAAAAAUUGGGCAAGCGGUAUUUUCUACCGGGCAAGCAUUUUUUUUUUAAGAGGCCUGCAAUAGCAAGUGCUCAUGACAACAUGGGGAUUCCCCUAUAGUUUGCUCAUGCUGCUUGUAUCUUGUGACCUCAAAUUCAGACUUUCUUUAGAUGUAACUUUUAAUGGGUGGUUAUGUCAAUCAUGGUUCAUGCCCUUUUUCCCCUUUUGAUUAUUAUCAUAAAUGAUUAUAUUUUUGAAUAUUUUAAAGUAAAGGGGGAGGGGCAGAUGUGAAUAUCAGAAUACCAGGUGGAGCCUCAGCUAUUGUAGCUGGUAGUGAUGAAUACAAACUUCCUGUGAUAUGAUUUAUAAUUGGAAACAAAACCAUCAGUCCUUGCUCAUUAUGAAGUAUUAUUUUAAGUAAUUUCUAUAGUUUUGCCAUCAAUUAUAAAAUAAACGCUUUCUUAUCUAUUCAAUAAUUUAAUUAUUUAGGGUUCAUAAAUUCAGAAGUUGUCAUAAACAAUUUUUAUCCAAAAUAAACUAUGAUAUUGCUAUUUUGAAGCAGGCAUGUAUUGUGUAUUUGAUGUGGAUUACAUGUAGGCAGUAAGAAAUGUGCCACUGAUAGUGAUACCAAAAGCAAGUGAUUUGGCAGCCCUUUUAAGUAUGUGUAUUAGGGCAGAGGUAAAAUGUUUAAACACUGUUCAAACGACUGUUGAAUGCAUAAAUUUCCUGUUUUGAUAACCGUUUGAAUGGAUUAUGCUUAAAAAUCCCCAAAAGUUGAUGAAAUUUCACAUUUUAUAUUUUUACAUCCAAGAAAUGUUUAAAUCUGUUUCCCAUGUUUCCUUGAAAUCAUUAUGAUCAAGCUGGAAACUAUCAAGAUAAUGAAGAAUAUUUCCUUCUUUUUUUUACUCUUGAGUCCUUUUUUCGACUUAAAAAGAUGUAUCACCUUGAAGAUUGAUUCAUAAUGUACAUUAAUAUUAUGUCUAAAGCUAAAGGUCAUUGACUUGUAUCAUGUGAUUCCAUCUUGAUUAUUUUUUUAGUGAUGCAAUAUUUUUUUUUUACAAGUUGAGAAAAGAACCACAAAGGCAUGAAUAAGUUUGAUAUCAGUGAUUGAAAGACUUAUCCUUGUCUCAUCCAUUGGCACAAAGUGUAACUUUAUGUAUAUUUAUGGAAUGGGGCGAGUGACCAUAUUUGUUUUGCCCAAAUUUUUCAUACUGUUGUCCCUCAUGUAGACAUUCAUGUCAGUUGAUCUUGUGUGACAUCAACUGAAAACGAUAUUUCAGAGUCCAAAGAGAAGGGAAUAUUCUUAAUUUUCUUGAAAGUUUUCAACUAAAUCAUACUACUGUAAUUUCUUAGAUGUAAAAAUGUGCAAUGUGAAAUUUCAAAGAAAUGCAUGUACAGCGUAUGGAAAAUUGCUGGCCGUUUCAUGGGUGUUAAGAUAUGAAAUGUGACAUUUCAGCAACUUUAGGGGAAGAUCAUUCAUGAAAUAUUGGACAGUUUUGGAUAGUAAGGGUUAUCACUGACAUUUUUUUGACAGUUUCAUGUCACAUGAACAAGUAUGAAGGUCGUUCAGGGUCAAUGUCCCUACACUAAUUGUAAGUGGCAAAUGGUUCCAGUGUUAUGAAGCUGACACACACAAUAAAUGAUUCAAAGGGAAUUGAAUACAUAACCCAUAGGUUUCUUGUAUUAAAAGAUGUCAUGGUUGUGUGGAUGGAAUAUGCCAGCAAUAGGCAUAAAUCAAUCUUCUGCUCUGUUCGAUUUCGUGAUGCAUGUAGGCCUAUUUCUAUUUCUAGUCUUCUCAGUUUUUAUAAUUCAAGCAUUAGCCCCAACUGCAUUUGGGUUAAUCCUCGUCAAGUGAUUAUUACCCACAUUCAGAUCGACUAUUUUCAGCCUCAAGUUAGAGUAUGAUGAUUCAUACUUUUUUUUCAAAACUAAAUUGCAUUUCCUGUCAGAGGAUGGAAUACGACAAAGAGUAGUUCAAUGUCGAUCUUCAUGUGUAGAAUACAUGAUUUCUCCUGUAGAGUUUCUAUAUGAAUUGAAGACUGUUUUGACAGUAAAGAGUGAUUGAAUAUAUUUUCUCUAUGAACUUUCAUGAGUGUCAACUAGACCCAUAUCAUUUCAAUUAUGUUUUGCUUUGUUUUGACGAGAGUGCUCAUUUAAAAAAAAAAUUGUGAGGAAAAAAGUAAUAGAAUCGGUUGAUGUUUAUUAUACACUCACUCAUACUGUGAUUUUGUUUUGUUUUGUAAAAUUGUGUUGAACUGGUCACUGUUACUUGGUUCUCUCUAUUAUAAUCUUGCCCCCAUUCCCCUCCCUCGAUCUGUCUGUAGCCUGUAGGCAGUGAUUUUAAAACCUUGGUUGAUUGUUAGUCUAUGUUAGUAGGCCUACAUGUACAUGUGUACAGGAGAUAUUCAUGGAAUCGUUUUUGCAGAGAUGUUUGAUGAGAGCCAAGUUCACUUUAGUCAGUGUUUCAAAAGCAUUCCAGUAACAAAAAACAAAUAAAACUAGUUUAAAACAUGGUUGUUGAAAGUACAAUGCAUCAUAUGUAAAUGUAUAGAAUACUACAGAUUAUUAGUCUGAUAGAAAACAUGUACUUUGAAACUUUCAUGAAGAUUAAGAUAAAUGCAUCUGCAUACAGUAGGCAGAUCCAUUACCUUUAAAACACCAUUUAAUAUUUUUUUUUAAAUUCAAGCUGGUUAACCAGACAAGCUGUCUGUUUCAUUGUAGUGCCCUCUAUCUGCUGGUAAACCAGCGUUCUUUGAAUCAUACUUGUGUGUUUGUCUUCCUCCCUCCACGGGCACACAAAUGCUAAACUUAUUGAGCAUAGCAACAGUGAUAUUCCAUUCACCCAAUACGCUGACUGCCUUGACAGCCUUGUCUGAUUGCCCGCACUGAUAUGCUGCAGGGACAGUCUCAGAAAAGCUCUCACGCUAUUCCCGUUCUGUGAUCCAUUUUCCGUCUAUUUUUUUUUACAAUGUCCUUUUUUUUGGGGGGGAUUAUUUAUUCAGUGCAUUCUUAUCCAUGUAUUUUUGUGUAUAUAAUUCCAUGAAAGAGACUUGAAACUCCCUACAGGUUUGUAUGAAAAUGUUUGCUAUUUUAUUAUUUACAUUACAAAUGCAGUAAUUGUCAAUUGUGAUUAAUCUUGAAUAAAUUGAGAGAAAAUGCGAAGAAAACAGAAUAAAUUUGUGUCAUACAUGUAAGUGACACAACAAGGACAUGCAGGCCCAGGCUAUCAGGGUUCCCCUUGUAUUCAGAUGCAAGUCUAGAUAUUUUCAUAAACUAUUGAGCAUGUAGUUAAGUAUGAUGCAGGCUUGGACUAGUGGAUUGAUUUAUGAUAUUGUUUUGACUGAUAUAAAUAUCAUUUUUCACAGUAUUUGCAUUGCUGGUGUCAGACAUUCUGCUAUGCAGUUUGAAGGCUUUGCAAAUGUAUCUCAUAUACCUGCAAAAUGUACUCCACAAAUUUAUACCUUGUCUUGGACAUAUAGGCCUACAUGUUGCAAAGAACAUUAAAAAAAAUGAUGGUGGUAGUUUAAAUUAAUGUAAAUAAUGAACUGUGUAUGAAAGCCUAGUUUUAGAUCAUGAAUUACACAUUUAUAGUCAUACAGAAGUAAUUUCAGAAAAUGAACAAGUUGAGAUAUAUAUCAGUCACAAAAUGAAUUGAAAUGAACCUUAAAUAUUUUCACCAAGUGUUUCACCAAGAAGCUCUGUAGCGGUUCAAAAUAAACUGGAUACAUGUAGGCCUAUAUGUAAUGUUCCAUGAAUCUAAAGUUUAUUUUUAUU
This 4545-nucleotide long non-coding RNA is filed under the name Lytechinus variegatus (green sea urchin). Its description in RNAcentral is "uncharacterized LOC121423127". Lineage: Eukaryota; Metazoa; Echinodermata; Echinoidea; Temnopleuroida; Toxopneustidae. The record is from RNAcentral.